Molecule: ribosomal RNA, 443 nt
Filed under: uncultured bacterium
Lineage: Bacteria
Description: partial 16S ribosomal RNA
Rfam family: Bacterial small subunit ribosomal RNA
Source: RNAcentral
CCUACGGGUGGCAGCAGUGGGGAAUAUUGGGCAAUGGGCGCAAGCCUGACCCAGCAACGCCGCGUGAAGGAAGAAGGCUUUCGGGUUGUAAACUUCUUUUAUCAGGCACGAAACCAGUGACGGUACCUGAGGAAUAAGCCCCGGCUAACUACGUGCCAGCAGCCGCGGUAAUACGUAGGUGGCAAGCGUUAUCCGGAUUUACUGGGUGUAAAGGGCGUGUAGGCGGGACUGCAAGUCUGAUGUGAAAACCACGGGCUCAACCUGUGGCCUGCAGUUGAAACUGUAGUUCUGGAGUGCUGGAGAGGCAGACGGAAUUCCUAGUGUAGCGGUGAAAUGCGUAGAUAUUAGGAGGAACACCAGUGGCGAAGGCGGUCUGCUGGACAGCAACUGACGUUGAGGCGCGAAAGCGUGGGGAGCAAACAGGAUUAGAUACCCGAGUAGUC